Molecule: long non-coding RNA, 314 nt
Organism: Labeo rohita (rohu)
Lineage: Eukaryota; Metazoa; Chordata; Actinopteri; Cypriniformes; Cyprinidae
Exons: 3
Source: RefSeq, a predicted model, not a curated record
GGAAGAUUUCGAGGACGCCAUUUCAAGGUUUUAAAUCUGUCAAUACUAGAUAUUUAAACUGCCUGUUUUGUGAAAGAUAAGGAUACAAACUCUAAAAUGAGUUCUCCAUCUCCUGAGUUAAGCUGUGAUCAACCAAUAAAGAAUCUGACCACUAGAUCCAGUGAUAAAACAGAGACAUUUGAGCCCAGUAUCAGGGGGAGCAAGAGACAGAGAUCAGAGCCUCCAGAACCCAGUGGUGUGUCUGUGAAGAGUAACAGGUCCUUGAUGCAACCCCCUGGAUUCAGUGAUGGAACAGUGUCCUCUGACACUUGGUU